AGCUUUGUUCAGUGGCAGUAGCUUAGCCAAUGAGGUUUAUCUACAGCACAAUUAUUGCUAAUUGAAAACUUUUCCCAAUACCCCACAUGACGACUUGAAAUAUGGUCGGCAUUGGUAAUUUUUGACAGUCUCUAUGGAGA
Cynocephalus volans (Philippine flying lemur) is the source of this 140-nucleotide small nuclear RNA. RefSeq annotates it as U4 spliceosomal RNA. NCBI's taxonomy places the organism in Eukaryota, Metazoa, Chordata, Mammalia, Dermoptera, Cynocephalidae. The transcript has a single exon. The record is from RefSeq and is a predicted model, not a curated record.